AUGGCGCCCGUAGCACUUGCGCUAUGCUUAUUUGCCACCGUCCUUCUCUCCGCUUCGCCACCCACCCAUGCCUACAUCGGCCACCCAUACUCCCUUCCCCGCCCCAGCCCCGAGGCGGCAGAGCCGACGUCGUCCCCUGAGUACAAGGUCUACAUCAUCAUGCUGAAGCCUCGAGCAAACGCCGAAGCCAUGGACAACGAAGAGCGCCAGCGAUGGUACCGGUCCUUCCUCCCCGACGAGGGAUUCGCCGCCUGGCUGGCGAAGGAGGAGCUGGAAGCCGCGUCUAAGAAACCCGGCUUCGGGCGCUGGUUCCCGGACAGGAUCAGUUACCCGGCCGUCGAAUAA
This 345-nucleotide ribosomal RNA is filed under the name Triticum aestivum (bread wheat). RNAcentral describes it as "partial small subunit ribosomal RNA". The record is from RNAcentral. Lineage: Eukaryota; Viridiplantae; Streptophyta; Magnoliopsida; Poales; Poaceae.